Molecule: ribosomal RNA, 119 nt
Filed under: Monopterus albus (swamp eel)
Lineage: Eukaryota; Metazoa; Chordata; Actinopteri; Synbranchiformes; Synbranchidae
Source: RNAcentral
GCUUGCAGCCAUACCUCCACGAGACAGCCUGAUCUCAUUCGAUCUCAGCAGCUAAACAAGGCUGGGUCUGCUUAAUAAUUGGAAGGGGGAGCUCCUCAGAAUACCAGGUGCUGCAAGCU